AGAUUUUCGGCCUGAUACAGAUUAAAUCAGAACGCAGAAGCGGUCUGAUAAAACAGAAUUUGCCUGGC
This 68-nucleotide ribosomal RNA is filed under the name Escherichia coli B26-2. RNAcentral describes it as "partial 16S ribosomal RNA". The record is from RNAcentral. Lineage: Bacteria; Pseudomonadati; Pseudomonadota; Gammaproteobacteria; Enterobacterales; Enterobacteriaceae.